ACCUUUAAAAGCUUGCUUUUAAAGGUUAGCGGCGGACGGGUGAGUAACACGUGGGCAACCUACCUGUAAGACUGGGAUAACUUCGGGAAACCGGAGCUAAUACCGGAUAAUUCUUUUCUACACAUGUAGAAAAGCUGAAAGACGGUUUCGGCUGUCACUUACAGAUGGGCCCGCGGCGCAUUAGCUAGUUGGAGAGGUUUUUUCUCACCAAGGCAAGAAAGCGUAGCCGACCUGAGAGGGUGAUCGGCCACACUGGNAUCCCUCCANCGCCCAGGGACCUACGNGANGCUUCAUUCGAGCUUGCUGUUNACUCCCCCCAUCCUGAU
Molecule: small RNA, 326 nt
Filed under: uncultured bacterium
Lineage: Bacteria
Description: bacterial SSU rRNA
Rfam family: Bacterial small subunit ribosomal RNA (bases 1-293)
Source: RNAcentral